Molecule: ribosomal RNA, 732 nt
Filed under: uncultured fungus
Lineage: Eukaryota; Fungi
Description: eukaryotic LSU rRNA
Rfam family: Eukaryotic large subunit ribosomal RNA (bases 98-732)
Source: RNAcentral
CAGUGGCGGUGCAGUUGCGACCGGCAGCGUAGUAAUNAUCUCUCGCUCGACGCGUCGCGCUGUGCCUGCCAGCCAACCGUGAUGAUUUCUCAUCGGUUGACCUCGGAUCAGGUAGGGAUACCCGCUGAACUUAAGCAUAUCAAUAAGCGGAGGAAAAGAAACCAACCCGGGAUUGCCUCAGUAACGGCGAGUGAAGCGGCAACAGCUCAAAUUUGAAAUCUGGCCCUCGCGGGGUCCGAGUUGUAAUUUGUAGAGGGCGUUUCGGGUGCGGUGCCGGUCUAAGUUCCUUGGAACAGGACGUCAUAGAGGGUGAGAAUCCCGUCUGCGAGUCGGCCACCAACCCCGGGUGAAACCCCUUCGACGAGUCGAGUUGUUUGGAAAUGCAGCUCAAAAUGGGUGGUAAAUUUCAUCUAAAGCUAAAUACCGGCCAGAGACCGAUAGCGCACAAGUAGAGUGAUCGAAAGAUGAAAAGCACUUUGGAAAGAGAGUUAAAAAGUACGUGAAAUUGUUGAAAGGGAAGCGCUUGCGACCAGACCUGCCCCCGGGCCAUCAUCCGCCAUUCGUGGCGGUGCACUCGCCCGGAUGCAGGCCAGCAUCGGUUCGGGCGGCGGGACAAAGGACUCGGGAACGUAGCUCUCUCCGGGGAGCCUUAUAGCCCGGGUUGUCAUGCCGCCCGCCUGGACCGAGGACCGCGCUUCGGCUAGGAUGCUGGCGUAAUGGUCGUAAGCGACC